ACACAGCUGUGUAUUUGAAGAAUAAAUGAAGAAAUGAAGUAAACACAAGACAUACACACAUACAUAUACCCAUACACAGCUGUAUCUGUGUGAUACAGCUGUGUAUGGGUGAUACAUCUGUAUCUGUGUGAUACAGCUGUGUAUGGGUAUAUGUAUGUGUGUGUGUCUUGUGU
Molecule: small nucleolar RNA, 173 nt
Organism: Cebus imitator (Panamanian white-faced capuchin)
Lineage: Eukaryota; Metazoa; Chordata; Mammalia; Primates; Cebidae
Product: small nucleolar RNA Z112
Exons: 1
Source: RefSeq, a predicted model, not a curated record